Molecule: ribosomal RNA, 496 nt
Filed under: uncultured bacterium
Lineage: Bacteria
Description: partial 16S ribosomal RNA
Rfam family: Bacterial small subunit ribosomal RNA
Source: RNAcentral
GAUGAACGCUGGCGGCGUGCCUAAUACAUGCAAGUCGAGCGAACAGACGAGGAGCUUGCUCCUCUGACGUUAGCGGCGGACGGGUGAGUAACACGUGGAUAACCUACCUAUAUGACUGGGAUAACUUCGGGAAACCGGAGCUAAUACCGGAUAAUAUAUUGAACCGCAUGGUUCAAUAGUGAAAGACGGUUUUGCUGUCACUUAUAGAUGGAUCCGCGCCGCAUUAGCUAGUUGGUAAGGUAACGGCUUACCAAGGCAACGAUGCGUAGCCGACCUGAGAGGGUGAUCGGCCACACUGGAACUGAGACACGGUCCAGACUCCUACGGGAGGCAGCAGUAGGGAAUCUUCCGCAAUGGGCGAAAGCCUGACGGAGCAACGCCGCGUGAGUGAUGAAGGUCUUCGGAUCGUAAAACUCUGUUAUUAGGGAAGAACAAAUGUGUAAGUAACUAUGCACGUCUUGACGGUACCUAAUCAGAAAGCCACGGCUAACUACGU